AGUGUAGGCGGCUGCGUAAGUUGGAUGUGAAAGCCCCGGGCUUAACCUGGGAAUUGCAUUCGAUACUGCGUGGCUAGAGUUUGGUAGAGGUAAGUGGAAUUCCGGGUGUAGCGGUGAAAUGCGUAGAUAUCCGGAGGAACAUCAGUGGCGAAGGCGGCUUACUGGACCAAAACUGACGCUGAGGCUCGAAAGCGUGGGGAGCAAACA
Molecule: ribosomal RNA, 207 nt
Filed under: uncultured bacterium
Lineage: Bacteria
Description: partial 16S ribosomal RNA
Rfam family: Bacterial small subunit ribosomal RNA
Source: RNAcentral